GCGUAACACGUAGGUGACUUGCCCAGAAGAGGGGGAUAACCAUUGGAAACGAUGGCUAAUACCGGAUGAGCGACUUUUGAUUAGAUAGAGAGUCGGAAAGUGUUUAGCGCUUCUGGAGAGGCCUGCGGCCUAUCAGGUAGUUGGUGGGGUAAAAGCCUACCAAGCCAAUGACGGGUAGCUGACCUGAGAGGGUGGUCAGCCUCAGGGGAACUGAGAAACGGUCCCCACUCCUACGGGAGGCAGCAGUGAGGAAUAUUGCGCAAUGAGCGGAAGCUUGAUGCAGCGAUGCCGCGUGCGGGAUGAAGGCCUUCGGGGUGUAAACUGCUUUUAAGAGGGAGCAGCAAGGAGCGUACCUCUUGAAUAAGUCGCGGCUAACUACGUGCCAUCAGCCGCGGUAAUACGUAGGUGGCGAACGUUAUCCGGAAUUACUGGGCGUAAAGGGUCGCCACGCGGUGGCCAAAGUCUGACGUGAAAGCUCCCGGCUCACCUGGGAGAAGCCGUUGGAAACUAGGUCGCUUGAAUCCCGCAGAGGUCGGUGGAAUUCCCGGUGUAGUGGUGGAAUGCGUAGAGAUCGGGAGGAACCCCAUAAGCGAAGGCUGCCGGCUGGGCGAGGAUUGACGCUGAGUGACGAUAGCGUGGGGAGCAAACAGGAUUAGAUACGCUGGUAGUCCGCGCCCUAUACGAUGUGUGCGCGGUGUGUGAUUGUAACCGAUUGCGCGCCCGAGCUAACGCGAUAGGCACACCGCCUGGGGAGUACGGUCGCAAGGCUAUCACUCAAAGGAAUUGACGGUGUGCCGCACAAGCAGCGGAGCGUGUGGUUUAAUUCGAUGCAACGCGAAGAACCUUACCUGCGUUUGACAUAAGGGACGUAGCAAGGUGAAAGCCGAGUGACCUUCGGGAACCCUUACAGCUGCUGCAUGGCUGUCGUCAGCUCGUGUCCUGAGAUGUUGGGUUAAGUCCCGCAACGAGCGCAACCCUCGUCGCUAGUUUCAUGUGUCUAGCGAGGCUGCCCACUUAGUGGGAGUAAGGAGAGGACGUCGUCAAGUCAGCAUGGCCUUUAUACCUAGGGCGACUCACACGCUACAAUGGCGCGUACAAUGGGAGGCCACACCGCGAGGUGGAGCAAAUCUAUAAAGCGCGUCUCAGUUCGGAUUGGAGUCUGCAACUCGACUCCAUGAAGGUGGAGUUGCUAGUAUCCGCGCGUCACCCAUAGUGCGGUGAAUGCGUUCCCGGGCCUUGUACACCCC
Molecule: ribosomal RNA, 1247 nt
Filed under: uncultured bacterium
Lineage: Bacteria
Description: bacterial SSU rRNA
Rfam family: Bacterial small subunit ribosomal RNA
Source: RNAcentral